GUGGGGAAUAUUGGACAAUGGGGGGAACCCUGAUCCAGCCAUGCCGCGUGUGUGAAGAAGGCCUUUUGGUUGUAAAGCACUUUAAGCGAGGAGGAGGCUACCGAGAUUAAUACUCUUGGAUAGUGGACGUUACUCGCAGAAUAAGCACCGGCUAACUCUGUGCCAGCAGCCGCGGUAAUACAGAGGGUGCAAGCGUUAAUCGGAUUUACUGGGCGUAAAGCGCGCGUAGGUGGCCAAUUAAGUCAAAUGUGAAAUCCCCGGGCUUAACUUGGGAAUUGCAUUCGAUACUGGUUGGCUAGAGUAUGGGAGAGGAUGGUAGAAUUCCAGGUGUAGCGGUGAAAUGCGUAGAGAUCUGGAGGAAUACCGAUGGCGAAGGCAGCCAUCUGGCCUAAUACUGACACUGAGGUGCGAAAGCAUGGGGAGCAAACAGGAUUAGAUACCCUUGUAGUCC
This 451-nucleotide ribosomal RNA is filed under the name uncultured bacterium. RNAcentral's name for it is "bacterial SSU rRNA". It matches the Rfam family "Bacterial small subunit ribosomal RNA", at positions 354 to 796 of the family's 1533-position model. The record is from RNAcentral.